UGGGGAAUAUUGGACAAUGGGGGCAACCCUGAUCCAGCCAUGCCGCGUGAGUGAUGAAGGCCUUCGGGUUGUAAAGCUCUUUUGGCGGGGACGAUGAUGACGGUACCCGCAGAAUAAGCCCCGGCUAACUUCGUGCCAGCAGCCGCGGUAAGACGAAGGGGGCUAGCGUUGUUCGGAAUUACUGGGCGUAAAGCGAGUGUAGGCGGUUGCCGUAGUCAGGUGUGAAAGCCUUGAGCUCAACUCAAGAAAUGCACUUGAUACUGGGUGACUAGAGGACCGGAGAGGAUAGUGGAAUUCCCAGUGUAGUGGUGAAAUACGUAGAGAUUGGGAAGAACACCAGUGGCGAAGGCGGCUAUCUGGACGGUUACUGACGCUAAGACUCGAAAGCGUGGGGAGCAAAACAGGAUUAGAUACCCCUUGGUAGUCCACGCCCUAAAACGAUGUCAACUAGUUGUU
This 456-nucleotide ribosomal RNA is filed under the name uncultured bacterium. RNAcentral's name for it is "partial 16S ribosomal RNA". It matches the Rfam family "Bacterial small subunit ribosomal RNA", at positions 355 to 824 of the family's 1533-position model. The record is from RNAcentral.